UACAGAGGUCUCAAGCGUUGUUCGGAUUCAUUGGGCGUAAAGGGUGCGUAGGCGGCGCGGUAAGUCGGGUGUGAAAUCUUGGAGCUUAACUCCGAAACUGCAUUCGAUACUGCGGGGCUAGAGUGCAGAAGGGGCAACUGGAAUUCUCGGUGUAGCGGUGAAAUGCGUAGAUAUCGAGAGGAACACCUGCGGCGAAGGCGGGUUGCUGGGCUGACACUGACGCUGAACUGCGAAAGCUAGGGGAGCGAACGGG
This 253-nucleotide ribosomal RNA is filed under the name uncultured bacterium. RNAcentral describes it as "partial 16S ribosomal RNA". It matches the Rfam family "Bacterial small subunit ribosomal RNA", at positions 524 to 776 of the family's 1533-position model. The record is from RNAcentral.